UGUGGCUAUAUAUAUAUAUGUACAUUUCAACCACAAAGUUUUAGAGUAGUUUAUUGCUCACUAAUAGAUAGUGGGAAUGUGUCCGUUUAGAAAAAUUAUACAAAACUUGGAAAUAAGGAAAAAGGAUUGUUGUGUGCCUUGCAAUGUUGUAAUAAGAACAUUAUCUAACAAGCCUGCCUAAAGGUCAUUUAAAGUUCUACAGAGAGGUAACCUUGUUUGACUUAGUGUUUAUUAUUAAUUAAUGAGAUCCCAGACUCAGUAAAGUUAGAUAUUAGUUUAUAGAAGAUUAACAAGUUGCAAAUUAUUUUUGUCCAGUGGAGAUAAUUUCAUUUUGGUGGGAAAGAUCAUCUCAAAGGAGACAGUUUUAUUGCCACACAGGACAUUAACCAAUAAUAUAUUUAACUUUUGAGUCUUAAUUCAGCCAUUUCCCCCACUAUAUAGUUCAUAGUUUCUUGUGUCCUCCUUUGAAUCAGCUUCACCACCUUGCUGUUUCUUUUCAUUAAUAAGAUAAAUAAAUAUUUUGACACAUGCUCAUAAUGUAAUUGAAAGAGAAUAAUUUUUAUUUAGCUUUUUGAAAGUUAUACUUUGGCAAACUAUUAAACUUUUUUUUUUGCAGGGGAUUCAACUCAAUACGUAUUUAUCGAGAAUCUAUUAUGUAAAAUGCAAUGUUCACAGCAUCUUCACCGGGAGAAGAUUCUAUCUUAAGGAAACUCUUUUCUCAUGCAUAAGAAGCACCUCCUUACCUGUUAAAAGUUUAAUCAUGAGAUUGCAGGAAUUCAGUCACAUCUUCAGGCUCCACUUCUAAUUCUAGUUCUCUUGGUAUUCCACCGCACCUGCAGUGACUUCCUCCACCGAAGUCUUGAACCUCUCAAAGUCAUCCAUGAGGGUUGGAAUCAACUUCUUCCAAAGUCCUGUUAAUGUUUGUAGUGUUAUGAAAUAUAUAUACAUAUAGGUUUUCAUACACAGGAAACAGAAUCUCUUUGACCUUCUCUUGCCUUCCUUUUACCUGCCUUCCUUUCACCUACCCCAAAGCAGGACUCUAAUCUUCUGCUUUUAUAAUUGUGGAUCAUAAGACUCAUUUCAGAGAGGGUCCCAACCCAUGGCCUGGGGGAAGGAAUGCUGAUAUAAUGAAGCUUCCAUAAAAAUCCAAGAGGACAGCUUCCUGAUAGCUGAACAAGUGGAGGUUUCUGGGGAAUGGCUACCUGGGGAGGGCAUGGGAGCUCCGUGUCCCUUCCUCCAUACCUCUCCCUGUGCAUCUCUUCAUCUGGAUCCUUCGUGAUAUCCUUUAUAAUAAACUGGUAAAUAUAA
Molecule: long non-coding RNA, 1308 nt
Filed under: Homo sapiens (human)
Lineage: Eukaryota; Metazoa; Chordata; Mammalia; Primates; Hominidae
Description: HSALNT0362897
Source: RNAcentral